Molecule: ribosomal RNA, 552 nt
Filed under: Paraparatrechina dichroa
Lineage: Eukaryota; Metazoa; Arthropoda; Insecta; Hymenoptera; Formicidae
Description: partial large subunit ribosomal RNA
Rfam family: Eukaryotic large subunit ribosomal RNA
Source: RNAcentral
CACGGACCAAGGAGUCUAACAUGUACGCGAGUCAUUGGGACUUGUCGCGAGACCUAAAGGCGUAAUGAAAGUGAAGGUCGGCCCUGGCCGUCGACCGAGGGAGGAUGGGCCGCGUCGCGAUGCGGCCUCGCACUCCCGGGGCGUCUCGUUCUCAUCGCGAGAAGAGGCGCACCCAGAGCGUACACGUUGGGACCCGAAAGAUGGUGAACUAUGCCUGGUCAGGACGAAGUCAGGGGAAACCCUGAUGGAGGUCCGUAGCGAUUCUGACGUGCAAAUCGAUCGUCGGAACUGGGUAUAGGGGCGAAAGACUAAUCGAACCAUCUAGUAGCUGGUUCCCUCCGAAGUUUCCCUCAGGAUAGCUGGCACUCGGCCGUUCCGCACGGAACGCGCGCGAGUCUCAUCUGGUAAAGCGAAUGAUUAGAGGCCUUGGGGCCGAAACGACCUCAACCUAUUCUCAAACUUUAAAUGGGUGAGAUCUCUGGCUUUCUUGAAUUAUGAAGCCACGAGCAUCUCCGGAUCAGAGUGCCAAGUGGGCCAUUUUUGGUAAGCAGA